Drosophila innubila is the source of this 426-nucleotide long non-coding RNA. RefSeq lists it as uncharacterized. The transcript is spliced from 3 exons. NCBI's taxonomy places the organism in Eukaryota, Metazoa, Arthropoda, Insecta, Diptera, Drosophilidae. The record is from RefSeq and is a predicted model, not a curated record.
CGCAGCAGGAUGGGAAUUGAGUGAAAGUUGUGUUUUUGUUGCAAACACCAACACAGUCAAGUGCAAGGCGCCAAAAACUUUCACCCCUCCCCCGCGUCCAGAGCAGCGGGUUAUUCCUUGUGGCAGCUCAGCGGGCCGUUUGCGGGAUAGGCCACCAUGCACGGCCCUCCAAACGGAUUAAAAAUCUCAAUCAGGGAGCAGCGAAGGACAAUCACAACCUCACUUGUUUGGGCACAAUUAAGUUCAAAUGGAGAAUAGCACACAUUCAUUUUGGCCACACUCUAUGGACAGCUUUAUGAGAUACGCAUUUAACCCAUUACAGCUUCCUGACCUUGAUCUGAACCCACAGGCGUUAAGUUGACAUUUGGCCAGCAGUUACAAGCUUUACCCUUGGCUAAAUACGAGUGCAAACAACUAGAGAAAAAA